Molecule: ribosomal RNA, 429 nt
Filed under: Pseudomonadota bacterium
Lineage: Bacteria; Pseudomonadati; Pseudomonadota
Description: Proteobacteria bacterium partial 16S ribosomal RNA
Rfam family: Bacterial small subunit ribosomal RNA
Source: RNAcentral
UGGGGAAUAUUGGACAAUGGGCGAAAGCCUGAUCCAGCCAUGCCGCGUGUGUGAAGAAGGUCUUCGGAUUGUAAAGCACUUUAAGUUGGGAGGAAGGGCAGUAAGCGAAUACCUUGCUGUUUUGACGUUACCGACAGAAUAAGCACCGGCUAACUCUGUGCCAGCAGCCGCGGUAAUACAGAGGGUGCAAGCGUUAAUCGGAAUUACUGGGCGUAAAGCGCGCGUAGGUGGUUCGUUAAGUUGAAUGUGAAAGCCCCGGGCUCAACCUGGGAACUGCAUCCAAAACUGGCGGGCUAGAGUAGGGCAGAGGGGGGUGGAAAUUCCUGUGUAGCGGUGGAAUGCGUAAGUAUAAGGAGGAACACCAGUGGCGAAGGCGACCACCUGGGCUCAUACUGACACUGAGGUGCGAAAGGGUGGGGAGCAAACAGG